UUAAAUCCUUAAUCCAUACGUGGUCGGUGUCCAUCAGCCCAUCGUUGAUGAUUAUUUCCACAAUCCCACGUUUCCCACUUCCCAAUUUCCAGAACACUUUACCAUUACCAUUCAUUUCCUUUAGCUUGCGAGUUCCGCCUUCCUGCUUUCCUUGAAUGAACUGUCCAUAACUCCAUAUUCCCAUGAUCAAUUCUCAAACCAUGAUUUCAUUUUCCAAUCAUUAAAUUACCUUAUAUAUUUAUUUUAUAAUUCCCUAAAUUCCAACAUCUCAAACCUAAAUCCUAAAUUCCCAAUUUCAAUUCCCAAAUGUGAAAUACUCACACAUCUCUCUGGUCCAUCUAUCUAUUCCUACUCCAAAAUUAAUUUCUCAAAAUCAUCAUGCAACAAGAAGAUCUGGAUAAUCCUAACUUUCAUUCUACAUGUUUAUAUGCAAUUCCUCUUAUUUCUUUCAUCUAUUUCCUAAUCAACAUAUGUUUGAAUAAGAUUAUAACUAAUAAAUUAAUAAUGAAGUUAUCCUAACUUGGUAUAUAUUCAAUUUCAGAAAGUACAAAUGGAAAUACAAAUCAAGUAACAAGAAGCCAAAUUGACCAAAAUGCGACAAUUUCCUUAGAGCGAGUAUCGGGAAAGAGGAAGAGGCCUUCAUGGGUCUGGAAGCACUUUGAUAUUCAUAUUGAUCAGAAUUCUAGAAAGCCAAUUGGAAUUUGCAAGUACUAGAAUAACUGUGCCCCAGAAUAAUCUGGCGCAUGCCAUCAGUGCGCUAGAAUGUUCUAGCGCGUGACUUUAUGCGCUAGAAAAUUCUAGCGCUGUACUUCUUUAAAUACGAGCACCUAGAGCAAUUUCGCCAUUUUCGCAUUUGUUUGUUGCUGCUUCUUCUUCUAUUUUCUCUCUCGGCCCUUGACCAUUUCUGCUCAAAUUUUGUUGCUUGCUUCACCAAAAUCGUUCCCAAGUUUUCCCAAACCAUUAAUAUUUAUGGGCUUUUGAGCGCUUGCCUUUUCUCAUUCCUUGGUCGGGGAGAUAGAAUUAUGGAUAUCCCAUCGCUACUUGUUGGGGGUGCCGCGAGGCGGUUGGAAGAGGCGGCUUAACCUGUUGGUAUUCCAGGAGAUGUUCGGGACUAUGAGUCCUACUCAGAUGCGAAGAGCGUUUGUAAGAUGCAGCGUCACGAGGGGUAUGCCUCAUGAGUACUUGGGGUUUGCGGAAAGGACUUGCCGCGUGUGCCCCGUUCUUGCAGAGGAAUUCGAGGUUUCAGCCCCCGAGUGUUUACCUUUGCUUUCUUUUCUUGCGGUAGAAAUUUUCUUAUGACUUUUCAAAGUCCUCUGAAGCAAUGGUUGAACUGUACGAACAAAUAUGUGCAGAGUGAUUAUCAUGCAUGUUUGCUUCAGUUGGAUGAUCAAAAUUCUCACAAACUUGCGAUGUUUUAUUGCCCUUUUAAUUUGGAGCAACUUGCAAAUUCUAAGUAGUUAAUAUUGCUUAGAGAUGAGAUAAGGGACUAGCAUAUUAAGGCUUGUUUUACCCAACUGUACACUAGGAUUUGCUCCCUAUGACAUAUUUAUAGCAUUAGCAUCGAGAAUUUGCAAUAAAAUCGACGUUUGGAGCAGUUUUGAAGUGCUUUCCUCAAGGCCCCAAACAUGGCUACGGGAUUGGGUUUGUGAUAUAAUGCUUGGCAUAUGUUUUACA
Spinacia oleracea (spinach) is the source of this 1674-nucleotide long non-coding RNA. RefSeq lists it as uncharacterized. NCBI's taxonomy places the organism in Eukaryota, Viridiplantae, Streptophyta, Magnoliopsida, Caryophyllales, Amaranthaceae. The record is from RefSeq and is a predicted model, not a curated record. The transcript is spliced from 4 exons.